Molecule: ribosomal RNA, 612 nt
Filed under: Naganishia adeliensis
Lineage: Eukaryota; Fungi; Basidiomycota; Tremellomycetes; Filobasidiales; Filobasidiaceae
Also listed under: 1 other name
Description: eukaryotic LSU rRNA
Rfam family: Eukaryotic large subunit ribosomal RNA
Source: RNAcentral
UAAGCGGAGGAAAAGAAACUAACAAGGAUUCCCCUAGUAACGGCGAGUGAAGCGGGAAGAGCUCAAAUUUGAAAUCUGGUAGCCUUCGGUUGCCCGAGUUGUAAUCUAGAGAAGUGUUUUCCGUGCCGGCCCAUGUACAAGUCCCUUGGAACAGGGCGUCAUAGAGGGUGAGAAUCCCGUCCUUGACAUGGACCCCCGGUGCUUUGUGAUACACUUUCAACGAGUCGAGUUGUUUGGGAAUGCAGCUCAAAAUGGGUGGUGAAUUCCAUCUAAAGCUAAAUAUUGGCGAGAGACCGAUAGCGAACAAGUACCGUGAGGGAAAGAUGAAAAGCACUUUGGAAAGAGAGUUAAACAGUACGUGAAAUUGUUGAAAGGGAAACGAUUGAAGUCAGUCAUGCUCUUGGGACUUACCUCCCUUGAGUGGGGUCAACAUCAGUUUUGAUCGAUGGAUAAAGGCACGAGGAAGGUAGCACUCUCGGGUGAACUUAUAGCCUCGCGUCAUAUACAUUGAUUGGGACUGAGGAACGCAGCAUGCCUUUAUGGCCGGGAUUCGUCCACGUACAUGCUUAGGAUGUUGACAUAAUGGCUUUAAACGACCCGUCUUGAAACACG